This 482-nucleotide ribosomal RNA is filed under the name uncultured bacterium. RNAcentral describes it as "partial 16S ribosomal RNA". It matches the Rfam family "Bacterial small subunit ribosomal RNA", at positions 30 to 507 of the family's 1533-position model. The record is from RNAcentral.
AUUGAACGCUGGCGGCAUGCCUUACACAUGCAAGUCGAACGGUAACGGGCCUUCGGGUGCCGACGAGUGGCGCACGGGUGAGUAAUACAUCGGAACGUGCCCGAUCGUGGGGGAUAACGAGGCGAAAGCUUUGCUAAUACCGCAUACGAUCUACGGAUGAAAGCCGGGGACCUCAAGGCCUUGCGCGGACGGAGCGGCCGAUGGCAGAUCAGGUAGUUGGUGGGAUAAAAGCUUACCAAGCCGACGAUCUGUAGCUGGUCUGAGAGGAUGAUCAGCCACACUGGGACUGAGACACGGCCCAGACUCCUACGGGAGGCAGCAGUGGGGAAUUUUGGACAAUGGGCGCAAGCCUGAUCCAGCCAUGCCGCGUGCAGGAUGAAGGCCUUCGGGUUGUAAACUGCUUUUGUACGGAACGAAAAGCCUUCUUUUAAUACAGGAGGGUCAUGACGGUACCGUAAGAAUAAGCACCGGCUAACUACGUG